AUUGAACGCUGGCGGCAGGCCUAACACAUGCAAGUCGAACGGUAGCACAGAGAGCUUGCUCUCGGGUGACGAGUGGCGGACGGGUGAGUAACGUCUGGGAAACUGCCCGAUGGAGGGGGAUAACUACUGGAAACGGUAGCUAAUACCGCAUAACGUCGCAAGACCAAAGUGGGGGACCUUCGGGCCUCACACCAUCGGAUGUGCCCAGAUGGGAUUAGCUAGUAGGUGGGGUAAUGGCUCACCUAGGCGACGAUCCCUAGCUGGGCUGAGAGGAUCGCCAGCGACAGUGGAACUGCGACACGGGCCACACUCGUACGGUAGGCAGCAGUGGGGAAUAUUGCACAAUGGGCGAGAGCCUGAGGCAGCCAUGCAGCGUAUAUGAAGAAGGCCUUCGGGUUGUAAAGUACUUUCAGCGGUGAGUAAGGCGGUGAAGUUAAUAACUUCACCGAUUGACGUUACCCGCAGAAGAAGCACCGGCUAACUCCGUGCCAGCCGCCGCGGUAA
Molecule: ribosomal RNA, 504 nt
Filed under: uncultured bacterium
Lineage: Bacteria
Description: partial 16S ribosomal RNA
Rfam family: Bacterial small subunit ribosomal RNA
Source: RNAcentral